RNAcentral lists this ribosomal RNA (491 nucleotides) under uncultured bacterium. RNAcentral describes it as "partial 16S ribosomal RNA". It matches the Rfam family "Bacterial small subunit ribosomal RNA", at positions 29 to 507 of the family's 1533-position model. The record is from RNAcentral.
GUGAACGCUGGCGGUAGGCCUAACACAUGCAAGUCGAACGGCAGCACCGUAAGAGCUUGCUCUUACGGGUGGCGAGUGGCGGACGGGUGAGGAAUACAUCGGAAUCUACUUUUUCGUGGGGGAUAACGUAGGGAAACUUACGCUAAUACCGCAUACGACCUACGGGUGAAAGCAGGGGAUCUUCGGACCUUGCGCGAUUGAAUGAGCCGAUGUCGGAUUAGCUAGUUGGCGGGGUAAAGGCCCACCAAGGCGACGAUCCGUAGCUGGUCUGAGAGGAUGAUCAGCCACACUGGGACUGAGACACGGUCCAGACUCCUACGGGAGGCAGCAGUGGGGAAUAUUGGACAAUGGGCGCAAGCCUGAUCCAGCCAUACCGCGUGGGUGAAGAAGGCCUUCGGGUUGUAAAGCCCUUUUGUUGGGAAAGAAAAGCAGCAGGUUAAUACCCCGCUGUUCUGACGGUACCCAAAGAAUAAGCACCGGCUAACUUCGUG